Molecule: ribosomal RNA, 423 nt
Filed under: uncultured Lachnospiraceae bacterium
Lineage: Bacteria; Bacillati; Bacillota; Clostridia; Lachnospirales; Lachnospiraceae
Description: bacterial SSU rRNA
Rfam family: Bacterial small subunit ribosomal RNA
Source: RNAcentral
UGGGGAAUAUUGCACAAUGGGGCGAAAGCCUGAUGCAGCAACGCCGCGUGAGCGAAGAAGGUCUUCGGAUUGUAAAGCUCUGUCCCUGGGGAAGAUAAUGACGGUACCCAAGGAGGAAGCCCCGGCUAACUACGUGCCAGCAGCCGCGGUAAUACGUAGGGGGCAAGCGUUAUCCGGAUUUACUGGGUGUAAAGGGAGCGCAGGCGGUCCUGCAAGUCUGAUGUGAAAGCCCGGGGCUCAACCCCGGGACUGCAUUGGAAACUGUGGGACUUGAGUGUCGGAGGGGCAAGUGGAAUUCCUAGUGUAGCGGUGAAAUGCGUAGAUAUUAGGAGGAACACCAGUGGCGAAGGCGGCUUGCUGGACGACAACUGACGCUGAGGCUCGAAAGCGUGGGGAGCAAACAGGAUUAGAUACCCUGGUAGU